This is a long non-coding RNA of Oreochromis aureus, 628 nucleotides long. The record is from Ensembl. NCBI's taxonomy places the organism in Eukaryota, Metazoa, Chordata, Actinopteri, Cichliformes, Cichlidae.
GUUCAGCCUCGGGAUUUACACUCGGCUCGACACGGAUAUGUGAAGAAUGAAGGGACCCUGCAGCGAAACGGAGAGCCAACCUCUGACUGAGUGCCCGUUUACUCAGUCUGACCACCUGUUGAAGGGCUGUUUGAUGACGAUUUGGACUCCUCUGGGAGAUGAGGACACACCCACAUCUGUUCCAUACUGCAGCCAUGGAUGGUGUUACGGCUCUGAGUCAGCUUGGGGCCAUCAGAUGCACACACUGGAAAACCAGCGCCUGUACUUCAUGCAGGAGAGACGGCCUCAGUGAUAAUUCAUCAGCAGCUGUGAAGAGAUGUAUUUGAAUAUCUUCUGGUUCCACUUUUCCUAACCUGGAAGCUGAGGAUGGCUGAUUCCUGACAAGGACACACACCUCAGCGCUUAUCAUGGGUGUUACAUCCUCUGUGCCGCAAUUCCAGAGAAAACGAGAGAGCAACGACCACUCAUUAAGACCAGCCAGAAAUCUGUCCCUUUCUGGCAGCUGUGAAAACUUCCAAUAAGAAAGUUUGCAUUCUUAGAACAAUGCUGGGUCAUGUGUGAUGUGUCAUUAUAUGAGGAUAUUACAUUUUGACUUAAUUCUGCUCAAUUAAGUGUUUUGUUCGUUGAU